UACGUAGGUGGCGAGCGUUGUCCGGAAUAACUGGGCGUAAAGGGAGCGUAGGUGGUUGAUUAAGUUAAAUGUGAAAGCCCAGGGCUCAACUCUGGAACUGCAUUUAAUACUGGUCGGCUAGAGUACAGGAGGGGUAAACGGAAUUUCUAGUGUAGCGGUGAAAUGCGUAGAUAUUAGGAGGAACACCAGUGGCGAAGGCGGCUUACUGGACUGUAACUGACGUUGAGGCUCGAAAGCGUGGGGAGCAAACAGG
This 253-nucleotide ribosomal RNA is filed under the name uncultured Eubacteriales bacterium. Its description in RNAcentral is "uncultured Clostridiales bacterium partial 16S ribosomal RNA". It matches the Rfam family "Bacterial small subunit ribosomal RNA", at positions 524 to 776 of the family's 1533-position model. Lineage: Bacteria; Bacillati; Bacillota; Clostridia; Eubacteriales. The record is from RNAcentral.